This 20-nucleotide non-coding RNA is filed under the name Arabidopsis thaliana (thale cress). The record is from RNAcentral. Lineage: Eukaryota; Viridiplantae; Streptophyta; Magnoliopsida; Brassicales; Brassicaceae.
CUAAUGUUGGUGUACGUAUG